AGAGUUUGAUCCUGGCUCAGAUUGAACGCUGGCGGCAGGCCUAACACAUGCAAGUCGAGCGGUAACAGAAUUUUUGACGAGCGGCGAACGGGUGAGUAAUGUAUGGGGAUCUGCCCGAUAAAGGGGGAUAACUACUGGAAACGGUAGCUAAUACCGCAUAAACUCUUAGGAGCAAAGCAGGGGAACUUCGGUCCUUGCGUUGUCGGAUGAACCCAUAUGGGAUUAGCUAGUAGGUGUGGUAAUGGCUCACCUAGGCUACGAUCCCUAGCUGGUCUGAGAGGAUGAUCAGCCACACUGGAACUGAGAUACGGUCCAGACUCCUACGGGAGGCAGCAGUGGGGAAUAUUGCACAAUGGGCGAAAGCCUGAUGCAGCCAUGCCGCGUGUAUGAAGAAGGCCUUAGGGUUGUAAAGUACUAUUAGUCGUGAAGAACUCCAGCAGCCGCGGUAAUACGGAGGGUGCUAGCGUUAAUCGGAAUUACUGGGCGUAAAGAGCACGUAGGCGGUUAUUUAAGUUAGAUGUGAAAGCCCUGGGCUUAACUUAGGAAUUGCAUCUAAAACUAGAUGACUAGAGUUUUGUAGAGGGAGGUAGAAUUCCAUGUGUAGCGGUGAAAUGCGUAGAGAUGUGGAGGAAUACCAGUGGCGAAGGCGGCCUCCUAGACAAAAACUGACGCUCAGGUGCGAAAGCGUGGGGAGCAAACAGGAUUAGAUACCCUGGUAGUCCACGCUGUAAACGAUGUCGAUUUGAAAGUUGUUUCCUUGAGGAAUGGCUUUCGUAGCUAACGCGUUAAAUCGACCGCCUGGGGAGUACGGCCGCAAGGUUAAAACUCAAAUGAAUUGACGGGGGCCCGCACAAGCGGUGGAGCAUGUGGUUUAAUUCGAUGCAACGCGAAAAACCUUACCUACUCUUGACAUCCAGAGGAUUUUGCAGAAAUGCUUAAGUGCCUUCGGGAACUCUGAGACAGGUGCUGCAUGGCUGUCGUCAGCUCGUGUUGUGAAAUGUUGGGUUAAGUCCCGCAACGGCGGCAAACCCCACGUAACGAGCGCAACCCUUAUCCUUUGUUGCCAGCGACUUUAGUCGGGAACUCAAAGGAGACUGCCGGUGAUAAACUGGAGGAAGGUGGGGAUGACGUCAAGUCAUCAUGGCCCUUACGAGUAGGGCUACACACGUGCUACAAUGGCGUAUACAAAGAGAGGCGACCUCGCAAGAGUAAGCGAAACUUAUAAAGUGCGUCGUAGUCCAGAUUGGAGUCUGCAACUCGACUCCAUGAAGUCGGAAUCGCUAGUAAUCGUAGAUCAGAAUGCUACGGUGAAUACGUUCCCGGGCCUUGUACACACCGCCCGUCACACCAUGGGAGUGGGUUGCAAAAGAAGUAAGUAGUUUAACCUUAAAAGGAGGACGCUUACCACUUUGUGAUUCAUGACUGGGGUGAAGUCGUAACAAGGUAACCGUAGGGGAACCUGCGGCUGGAUCACCUCCUAUAA
This 1483-nucleotide ribosomal RNA is filed under the name Candidatus Providencia siddallii. RNAcentral's name for it is "bacterial SSU rRNA". It matches the Rfam family "Bacterial small subunit ribosomal RNA". The record is from RNAcentral. Lineage: Bacteria; Pseudomonadati; Pseudomonadota; Gammaproteobacteria; Enterobacterales; Morganellaceae.